AUUUCUUAUAUUUCUUAUUUUUUUCUUAUAUUUCUUAUAUUUCUUCUACUCUCUUUUAACAAUGUCCUCACGCUUCAUUCUUCAGUGUCUUUUCAAUUUCUGCAGCUUAAAGUACAGCAUGGUUAUAACAGACCAAGAACUGGCCACAGAGCCAGGGAAACGUGGGUUCAAGCUCUACCUCUGAUUCAGAUUGGCCGUGUAAUCUGGUACAAGUUACUCAACCACUCAGUGCUUCAAGUAACUCUGUAAGACUCUAUGUGCCCCUGCACUGGUAGAGAGAAUUUCCUUCUCUGGGAGUUCCCUAUAAAAUCACCAGUCUAAUCAUGAUCCUCUGGAGAAGGGUACUAAGAAGAGCCAAGGCACCUUCCACUUGGUGAGAUACAUUUUCUUUUCUUUCUUAUUCCUAUUGCCUCUUUUGUCCUUCCCCCUUAGAUUCUUUCUUCCUUUUCCUUUCUCCUUCCUUUCUUUUAUUCUCUCCUUCCUCCCUCCCACCCUUCUCCUCCCUUUUUCUCUUUUCUUCUCCCUCCCUUUUUUGAAGAGGGGGUUUUCAUAUUUUUCUCAGGCUGGCCACUCAUAAGCCAAAUCCCAUGACUGAGCAGCACUGCAGCUUUGACCUGGACCAGCUCAGCAUUUCUUAAGCAGCCUGGUAGCACAUAAUCCCAAAGGCUUACCACACUUGUGCUGACCUUUUAGGGAUUGCACCUCAGAACUCCUGAGAUCAAGUGACUGACCAGCCUCAAUGUUCUCAGCAGUGAGAUAACAGACACAUAUCAUGGCUGUUAUAUAGUAUCCUGUGUCCAAAGCUCACAUAAGGGAGCCCAAAUGUGGGGAAGGGAAAACAGUUCAAAAAGCUUCCACCAUCCAACAUAUCUUCAUCAUUGCCUACGGCAUUUUCCACAUGUGAUCUAGGAUUCAAAAGCAAGAAUACCUUCCUUCGAAGAAGGGAUCACUGCACAGUACCAAGAAGCACAAGAUCAAGGAGACACCUUGACACCGAGACAGAGGACUUGUUUUGAGGUUUGAGGAAGCAGCUAUUUGACAACUUCAGAUGCAAGACUCCGUCAUGCCAGAUUUCUAACAAGUACCUUAGUUUGGCUUUCAUUUUGGCUUCACUAUCCCUGAGAUUAAGGUAAAAUCAGACAGGAAUCACACUUCCCUUUUAAAUCAGAAUCUUAUCUCUUCUCUUUAAAAUAUGACACUUUUCUAUAGUCCUGGCUGCUUUGGAUAAAGUGCAAAAUUGCUGCAAUCAUCCAAUAGGCUUGUGGGACAUAAACCACUUUAAUUGGGCCUUGUUGGUGAUUUAAAGACCUGUUACAGGUUUAUUCGUUUUUACUCAUAAUUUUAUAUACAUAGGAUUUUGAUAUUUUAUUUUUUAUCUAGAAUUUAAUUUUUUCUCUUUUAUUUGGGAUAUUUUUUUAGGUUUUGGUUUUGACAAUUAAUUCAUAUACCUCAUAACUUAGCCAUGUAUCCCAGGGUGAUUCUGGUGUUGGUCAACACCCUCCUCAGAGGGGAUUUGUGUAAUUAUCCUAAAUUCCAAGGUUUAAAAUCUUUUGGAGGAAUUUCAGGAAAAGAAACUCGCCAACAUCCCAAAUCAAGAAAGUGGAUCUUUUUGGAAAAGGUGCUAUAAGGAUGCCUGUGGAAACCACAUACUGCAACAAAAGAUUCAGAAUGAACUUUGGUAUAUAAUGAACUGAACACAAGUGGGUUGAACAUACUUAUUCUGAAUGUAAACUCUUAUACCAAAGGGGAAUGCUCCCUAAUUAGUGUUCUGUCAAUGUUUCCAUGAAUCCUUUUUUGUUUUCUUUCUCUUUUCUUUCCCUCUUAUCCCCACAAUGUUGUAAUUUCCCUUUUGUAAAGUGCAAUAUGUUAUGCACCUCUAGUCAGAAGGAUCUUUAGAGCAAUGAUAAAUUGGGGAGACUAGGCAUGUAUAUCUGGGAGAUUUCAACAUGUUUGUCUCCCAGUAGAAUCACAGGGGGGAUUGUGUAGGUAGAAUCUACUCAUCCCCACAGCUUGUCCCCACCUUGCUGCAUGGCUAGAUGCCAUGUGAAUGCUCCAAACAGCUCACAGUUGAAGAGCCCUAGAAAUAUGACCCAGAACUAAAGGUUAUUUCCUUGGCAGUGGAGCACCAUGCUGAGUCAGCCAGUCGUGUGGAGAACCAUGUGGUCAGUUAGGUUAGAUUAGGCUUAAAUCUCUACAUAUUUGCUCUUUUUAUUUCAAGUGAUUAAUAAAACUUAUGGAAAAUAAGAACCUGCAGUUAUUAAUUUUAAUCUAACAGUAUGCAAGGGCUUUCCCUCUUUGAUUUCUUUGGAGCCUUGGUCUAGUAUAGGUAUCAAUUAGGGGGUUUAGUGACUUUUUUGGCAUAGUUCCAAAACACUUGCCAGAAUGGCUAAACCAAUUCACAUAGACCCAGCAACAACAUUUACAAUUUUCCAUUUUUGUCAACUUUAUUAAUGUAAUGAAUUUGAAGUGGAAACUCAACUUACAUUUCUCUGAUUAUCAGUAAUUUUGGAACAUUUUUCAUAGAGCUAUUAAUACACUGAAUCUUCCUUUGAAAUAUACUUGUUCAUUGCUAUUUGUUAACUGAGAACUGGUUCUUAUUCUUACAAAUUUGAAUCAGUUCCCUAUUUAUCUUAGAAAUGAAACUUAUGGAUAAUUUGUGUGGGUUUAUAUUAUAUUUGGCAGUUUUGCUAAAGCUGUUAAUUAUUUAUUAACAUUUAAUUAAUUCUAUAGGCUUAAAACAGAUCUAUAAAAAUUAUAUUUUUAUUUCUUCUUUGCUUAUGCUUAUUCCUUUAAUUUAUCUUUCUUGUCUUAUUUCUCAUGUUAGCAUUUCUAGCACUAAAUAUGAUGGUAAUGGUGGCAUCCCUAAUGUGACUGGAAAGGUCUCUGGCUCAUUACAGAUAAUGCUAGCUUUUGGUUUUACAUAGAUACUAUUUGUAUUAAGGAAAGCUCCUUUUAUUCCUAUGUUUUCUAGUAUUUGUAACAGGAAUAGAUAUUGUAUCUUCAAAAGUUUUUUUUUUUGCAUGUAUUUAAAUAAUGAUAUUACUUUAUUGGUUUUGUUAUUAUGAUCAAUUAUGUUUAUAUUUUUCCUAAUACUAAGACACUCAUGCAUUUCUGUUAUAAAUCCAAAUGUGGUCAGAAUAUAUAAUCAUUCUGAUAUAUUGCUAUAGCAUACUUGCCAAUAUUUUAAAUUCUGUACAUCAAUAUUUUAUAUUCGGAAUAUUUGUCUGUGGUUUCCUCUACCCUCUUCUGACUUGUCUCUCCACAGGCAGUCAAGACAUCAUUAUUUUUUUUAAAAUCCUUACCUUCUGUCUUGGAACCAAUACUGUGUAUUGGUUCCAAGGCAGAAGAGUGAUAAUGGCUAGGCAAUGGGAGUUAAGUGACUUGCCCAGGGUCACACAACUGGGAAGGUCUGAGGCCAGAUUUGAACCUAGGACCUCCCAUCUCUAGGCCUGACUUUCAAUCCAGCUGCCCCACCAAGACAUUAUUUAUGUUAAAGAAUGAAUUAGUAGGAUGCCUUCUUUUCUAAGAUUAUAUAGUACAGGAAUUAUUCUUUAUUUGGUAGAAUUAGAUUUUUGGACUUGAGAUUUUUCCCUCUUGGAGUUCAUCUAAGGUUGGUUCAUUUUUUUUUCCUAAAGCAGGUUUAAAAUUUUUUUCCCCUUUUCUGUUAAUCUGGGAAAUUUUAUAUUUUUAUAUUUUAUAUUAAUUUAUUUCAUUUAAGUUAUGAGUUGAUUAGCAUAUGGUGGAAAUACCUAAUAAUUUCUUUGAUUUCUUCUUUAUAACCUUUUUAUUUCUGAUAAUUUGUUUCUUUCUUUCCCAUCAAAUUACCUAAUGCUUCAUCAAUUUUAUUGCAGGAUUUUUAAGCUCCUAGUUUUUUUCAGUUUUUGUUUUUCUUUUUUUUAAGCCCUUACCUUCUGUCUUGGAAUCAAUAUUGUGUAUUGGUUCCAAGACAGAAGAGUGGUAAGGGCUAGGCAAUGGGGGUCAAGUGACUUGCCCAGGGUCACACAGCUAGGAAGUGGCUAAGGGCAGAUUUGAACCUAGGACCUCCCAUCUCUAGACCUGACUCUCAAACCACUGAGCCACCCAGUUGUCCCCUGUUUAUCUCUUUUGAUAAAAUUCCUGUUUUGGUAUUUGGCUGAGGUUCCUUAGAUUUGUUGUUGGUUUUUUUAUUUUAUUUUAAUAGUAUACUCAAUUUGUUAAUCUGCUCUUUCUUUUAUUGAUGGGCAUAUAAAUAUCUAAGUAGUCCUUCAGCUGAAUCUCCAAAGUUUGGAGAUGCUGACUCAUUACAGUUAACAAAAUUAUUAUUUCUACGAUUUGUUCUUGGACUCAUUUAGAACAAUUUAUUUAAUUACUUAACUCUGGGUGAUUGUUUAACCUUUGUUUCAAAGAUCCCCUACUGAAUGUAAUUUUUAUUGCACUGUAGUCAAUAAACAAUGCAUUUAAUAUUUCUACUUUGGGGCAUUUCUUUGUGAGAUUUUUUAUGUCUUAAUGAACCCUAAAGAUAAUUUUUGUGAAGAUGCCAUGCCCAGUUGAGAUAGCCUUUCUAUUUCCAUUGAAUAUUUUCCAGAUAUUUAUCAGAUUUAAUGCUUCUAAAAUUUAGUCAGGUCUUUUGUUUAUUAUUUAUUAGAUCUGUGUAUAUCUGAAAGGAGUAAACCAAGGUCUCCCACUAUUUUAGUUUUGCUAUCUACUUCUCCCUACAACUCAUUUAAAUUUUUCUUUAGGAAUUUAGAUGUUACUUUUUUUCCUGCAGAAAUUUAGAUGACAUUUUUAGUAUUUGUUUCUUAUUGACAUUAGCACUAUGGUAACUAAAAUUAGCUCAUGGUAUCUUUUAACAAAAUGUAGUUUCCUUGUUUAUGUCUCUUAAUUAGUUCUAUUUUUGCUGUUAUUUUGUCAGAGAUCAUCAUUGCUACCUUUGCCUUUUAAAAAUAAUUUCAGCCCAAAAAAUAAAGAUUCUCUGCCAGCCUCCUAAAAGAGAAAUCUUAUAAAUACCAGAAUUGUCAGAUUUUGUUUUAUAAUCCAUUCUGCUAGCCUCUUUCAUUUUAUGGGUCAAUUUACUCCAUUCACAUUCAUAUUUAUGAUUGCUAAUUGUGUAUUUUCCCCCUUAUCAUAUUCUCCCUUUUCCCAAGCACUUCUCUUUAAGAGUUUGUUUUGCUUCUGAUGAACACCUUUUAAUCUAUUCUACCUCUUAUUUCCCUCUCCUUCUAUUCCCUUAAUGCCUUUCCUUCCUCUGUUGGGUGAAAAAUAUUUCUGUACCCCAAAAAGUGUAUGUAUAUGCCUCCCUCCUUUGAUGAGUUCAAAUUAGUGUCACCCACUCCUCAUUUCCUCCACAUUGUACAGAUUUCUACUUUCUUAUUCCAUUUAUGUGAAAUAAUUUUCUCCAUUAUUACUUUCCUCCUUUCCCAGUAUGUUCUUCUCCUAGCUUUCUCAUGGUUUUACAGCCUAGAUCUUUAGCCUUCUGUGUAACCUAAGGUGGCUCAUCAGUACUUGAAUUCUUUAUUUUUGGCUGCUUAAUUUUUUUCUCAUACCUGUAUUUUGGUUAUAAUAUUACUGGGCCUUUCAUUUUGUGAAGAUAGGAUUAACUCUCCCCUGCCCAUUUUUACAUUAAAUCACUAGAAGCAUAUACACCCCACUUACACUUGAGUGAGGGAGGUUUAUAGCCCACAUGUACUGAAAAUGGGAGACAAAUCAGAACUCAUUAACUUCCCCCUGGACAGUCCUGAGAAAAUUUAAUAGACUAUAAUUGGUCCAUAUAAAGUAGAGGAAGGCACAGGAAGUGGCACAAAGAAGCUUCUAUAAAAAGAGUUACAACUUCCUGUGAGAAUGAGUUCUUUGUAGUUCUGAGUUCGAGUUGGAGACUGGUGAAGAAUCUGCUUCAAGGACCUGAGACCCUGGACUCAGUGAGACUGUUAUUCAAUCUCUCCCUUUGAACUACCACAUGGCUGAGUGAAAAGGCUGACUUCUUCCCUGAUUUUCAGAAGGAACUAGCCUCUGGAGAGGCCCCCGUCUAGGGAGAGAUUUUGUGGCUAAAACCCUUGUUUAAUUUACCUCUGGGCCCCCUUUGCUGGGACCUCUUAAGCCCUGUCUGGUUCAAACCAGGCCAGAGUAAAUAUCUACUCUCUCUGAUUUUCUUUCAUUCUUUCUCCUUUUGUAAAUGUUACCAUAAAAAAUAAUUUGGAAUUGAGUAAUAAUUCCUGGUGACCACACUCUUAAAUAUCUUAUCCAACCCUUUCUGGCCCUUACAAUUUGAUGGUUUCUUUCAAAAUGUUAAUGAUGAAUCAGUUCAGUUUUCACUUUGCUACCUGGUUCUAAGAUAUAAGCAUUUAUUUUUAAAUAGUUUUAAAGAUUUCUUGAAAUAAAAUGUUGACUUCUUUUAGUCUUGGUUUUCAAUUGUUUUUGAAUUCUUUUCCAGGUGAGUUGAUUUUGCUAAUAAAUUGUAUCUUACUUAUAUUUUCUUCUAUUUUUAUGGCUUUUAAAAUAUUUCUUGAUGCCUCAUAGAAUCAUUACCACUAAUUUGAUCAAUUCCAAUUUUCAGGGAGGUAUUUUCUUAGAUAACAUUGUGUACUUCUUGUUCUAAGCUGUUAAUUCUAUUUUCAUAAUAUCUUUCUCCCAUAAUUCCCAAUUCUUUCCCAAUUUUCCACUAUCUCACUAAUUUGGUUUUGAAAACAAAUUUCUCUCUUUCUUUCUCUUCCCUCUUCCUUUAACUCUUUCCAGUAAUUCUAGUUAAGACUUUUAUUGAAGCUCUAUUCCUUUUUGAGGUUUUACUUGUAGGUAUUCAAGUCAUUCUCUCUUCUUGAGUUCAGUUUUCAGCUUCUCUGUUAUCAUAAUAACUUUUCAUGGCAGUAUUUUUUUUUGUUGUUGUUGUUUAUUUGCUCACUCUUCCAGACAACUGCUUGACUUUGGACUUUUGUGUUAGUUAGUGCUGAGUUCCAUGCCCUUAUGAAAGAGAAUGUCUGGCUUGAAUGUCUGUCUUCUUACAUCUUUCUGCUACUUUUCAUAGAUCAUGCUGGGGAAUCUGUAAGCUGAAAGCAGUGAAAGAGUAUGGGUUGGGCAGUCUGCUCAUUGCCUUUCUUAUCUGAGUUCUUCAAGUUCUGACCCAGUUUUGGUUCUGUUGGCUUGUCUCUGGAUGGGAGUUUCAGUAGACUGCUAAUCUACUCAGCUACUAUUGACUGAAGCUUGGGAGGUUCAGAGAGACCAAAGUAUAGGUUUCUCCCUGAUCUGAUACUCAUUGCCCAGGAAGCACAGUAGGCUUCCACUCUAGUCUAAAAAUACAACUGUCCAUUCUUUUCCUGUCUCCUUAUGCUGUUUUGGGGGUAGAAAAGGUGGUUCAUAGUGGUUUCUCCACAGAUCUCUUGAUUAUUAUUAAGAAUAAUGUUCUGCUUCUUCUCAUUCCACCAUCAUAGAGUUCCCUGAUCAACUCUUUUCUGAGGUCUAUUCUUGUAUCAUCAACUACCUCUUGGACAUUACCACUUAAUUGUCCCAUAGGCACUUCCAACUCAGCAUGUUAAAAAGAGAAACCAUUAUCAUCCUUCUAAAAUCUAUCUUUGUUCAUAAUUUCCUGAUAUCUGUUUAGGAAACAAUCAUUCCUUCAAUCAUCAAUGUUCAACAUCUUAGAGUCUAUCUCUAUUCCUAGCUUUCCUUUAUCUACCAUAUCCAGUUAUCAAGUCUUGUCAAUUCUAUCUAUUACAUUUAUUUAAUCUAUCCUCUUCUUUCUCAUAUGGUCACAAAGCUGAAAAAAACUGCUGGGUUAGAUUAAGCAUAUAUAGUAUUUCUAGAAUUAAUACAAUUUUAAAGAUGAUCAAUAACUACAGUUCUUCGGAAACUGGGGUAUUCCAUGAUGCACAGACAAAAAGCAUCAAUAAAGGAAAACAAAAACAACAACAAAAUUCAUCUGGAAGAACAAAAAGUCAAGAAUAUCAAGGGAAUCAAUGAAAAAAAGUGUGAAGAAAGGAAGCCUAGCAGUACAAGAUCUCAUAAUAUAUUGCAAACUGGUAAUUAUCAAAACAAUCUGGUAGUGGCUAAGAAAGAGAAUAGUGUAUCAGUGGAGUAGAUUAGGUAAACAAUGACUAGAAAGAAAUGACCAUGGGAAUUUAGUGUUUGAUAAAUCAAAAGAUCUAAGCCUCUGAGACAAGAACUCACCAUUUGACAAAAACUAUUAGGAAAAUUGGAAAAUAGUA
Non-coding RNA from Monodelphis domestica (gray short-tailed opossum), 8171 nucleotides. NCBI's taxonomy places the organism in Eukaryota, Metazoa, Chordata, Mammalia, Didelphimorphia, Didelphidae. The record is from RefSeq and is a predicted model, not a curated record.